This 19-nucleotide non-coding RNA is filed under the name Arabidopsis thaliana (thale cress). The record is from RNAcentral. Lineage: Eukaryota; Viridiplantae; Streptophyta; Magnoliopsida; Brassicales; Brassicaceae.
CCGUUGUAGUCUAGCUGGU